GAACUGUGCGAUGAUGAUAACAAGCUCCCUCUUCUGAGAUUCUUUUUGCAGACAACUGCUGGCAGAAUCGAACCAUAACAACUCGCCACAACUGAGCUU
Molecule: small nucleolar RNA, 99 nt
Filed under: Zostera marina
Lineage: Eukaryota; Viridiplantae; Streptophyta; Magnoliopsida; Alismatales; Zosteraceae
Description: Small nucleolar RNA R30/Z108
Rfam family: Small nucleolar RNA R30/Z108
About the family: snoR30 is a C/D box small nucleolar RNA which acts as a methylation guide for 18S ribosomal RNA in plants.
Source: Rfam by way of RNAcentral